GCUCAGGGCACGCUCCUGGCAGUACUCAGCGUAUCAGAUAGGUGCCGGGGUUGAACCGGGGUCAGUCACUUGGAGGCCAUCGCCUUGACCUCUGUUCUAUCUCUCCUCCGGUAGUUGCCCAGUUAGUAACCAGCUGCUCGGGGGACUGCGAGCCAACGGAGACUCUCUGGAAGUGACUCUGGCCUUCAACCUGAUCCGCUUCUUGGCCAGCGAUACGCUCUACCUGCACGGCCGAGUGACCCUAUGCGACAAACGAGCAGGACACUCGUGCCAGCCGAUCUGUAGCCAGAAGAGUUCGUCUGCGAGAAAUUGGCCUUGGGAGAUUCGAGGGAGCAAGGGCUUGGAGAGUGAAUCCGUCUGGAUAGUGUUCGGGCCCAUCCGAAUAAGCGAGUCCAGUGCCUCCAGCAACAGGAGUUCAACAGGUGCCUGGAUCGCCAUCUCUCUUCUGAUGUUGAUAGGCUGGAUGCUAGGAUAAAAUCCUGCCUCUGUACUUCCUCUAGACUCUAGUCCUUAGCCUCUAGUUUAAUUGCCUGAUAGAAAAAAAUUUAGAAAGAGGCAAAAUUUAGUUUGUCCUUGCGUUAGGAACCAGAAAGGUAGGACGUGAAAAGAGGACCCAAGUAUGAGCCUUCUACUUUCUGACCUUUCGGCUAUACCUCUCAUCUCACAACCCUUUUGCCAUCUCUGCAAUUCUUCCAAGCUGCUCAA
Sorex araneus (European shrew) is the source of this 705-nucleotide long non-coding RNA. RefSeq lists it as uncharacterized. NCBI's taxonomy places the organism in Eukaryota, Metazoa, Chordata, Mammalia, Eulipotyphla, Soricidae. The record is from RefSeq and is a predicted model, not a curated record. The transcript has 4 exons.